AAUUCCCACGGGAUAUAGGAAUCUUUGAUAGUUCAGGAGCGAUUGUGCGUUGAUUCCCCCAGCGAUUUUAGAGAAAUUACUCUGUGUUGGGCUCUGUGCUAGGCACAGCACGGGGAGAUGACGUGGAGCUCGCUCCAGCCGAGAGAUUUUGGCGUACCGAAGGCGGGGAGGUUGAUGUCUAAGGAACGGAUGGAAGGUCGUGGGCCUGAGGAAGGCCAGUGUCAGCCAGAUCCCACCAGGACUGCUAGAGGCUGUUGUGGACCCCGGAUGAUUCCUCUGGCUUUGGAGAAGGAUUGUAAAAGAGGAAGCAGAGAGAUCAGAUAAGAGGCUAUCUUGGAGCAAUCCAGGUGAGAGGGAAGAGAAACCAUCUGCCAAGGAGGAACCUUACACACAGACUGGAGGCUUCUGAAACAGCAGUCUCCAGGGCAGAGAACCAC
Leptonychotes weddellii (Weddell seal) is the source of this 437-nucleotide non-coding RNA. Lineage: Eukaryota; Metazoa; Chordata; Mammalia; Carnivora; Phocidae. The record is from RefSeq and is a predicted model, not a curated record.